GUAAAACAGUCUUGAAAUACAAAAAACUGUUUCGAUUCCCAACAACAACAAUAGGAAUAUUUCCUUUUUUAUUACAACAUGUUUGAAUCGUUAUCUAUCGUGUAGUUGUCCAAUUUUCAAUCAUAUGCCACCAACAAUGUCGGAUUAACUGGACUUGACUGUAUAAGGCUACAGCAAUUUAAUUCCUUGGAUUACAGAAUCCCCUAUCACUUUGGAAAAAAUGUAUGAAUUGUUCACUAGAAGUUAAAAUUUUGCUAUGAAUUUCUAUUAAGUAAAAGAUGUUGCCAUAAAAUGAAAAAUGGAUCUGAAUCUAUGUAUUUAUACUCUCCCAUCAAAAUCAAAAUUGUUUUCUUUUUUUCUCUUACUGCUUUUAAGGUUUUGGAUGAAAAUAACCCAUAAUCCAUGUACAUAAAUUGAUGAUGAUGCCUAAGGAAAAUUAUUUACAAUUUAUUUUGUUAUCAAAAUUUCAUUUAUUUCAUAUACAUAAUGUGAAGAAUGACAUUCCUAUUUGAUUCCAGAAUAAUAUAAACAUGCUGCAUAAAUACUACAUCCCAGUGGAUGAAGAAUAACUUUAGCAUAUAUAUCAUGAUAUAAAAUUUAAAACAGUAUCAAAUUUGAAUAACUUGGGUAUAUUGAUGACUAUAACAACAGAUAUAGAUUUACACACUGUACAUAUACAAAAUCAAUAGAGGAAAUAGGAUACAAAGUUCAAUUGAUGAGAUAUGAAAGAAUGACAAAAUUCAUUUAAUUAUUUACAGGUGGUGGUCCAGCUGGACCUGAAUUGUCGACAGUUGCCGAGGUUGUUCAAAACAUCCUGGGACGUGAUAACACUACCAUAAGUGGAUUGGAUGGCUUUGAUUCAUUCCCUGAACAUGCCAGUACAACAAGUGCUCCGGAGUCUGGGUCCUCAUACCAGAACCCAAUCAACAUCACACUCUCGGCCAUCACCAGUGCCAGCCACACCAGCAGCUGUGUGCUGGAUGACUACAUUCCUCUGGAAUUUCACACACCUGUUCAGGUGCUCAGCCCUUUAGGAACUCUCUAUAAGGGAAAAGAGAGAAAGAUUAGAAAUUGAAGUGCUUGAACUCCAGAAGGAGUAUUACAGUCUCAAGAUAAAGAAAUUAAAAAGCAAAUAACUGAUAUUGUAUUUUACACAAGAUUAUAGGUCAAAGCAUGGUUCUUUGAUAAUUGUUUAUAGUUAAUUUAUUGAUUUCUUAAGGUUGCAAUAUUGAUAUUUCAUAACCCAUUGAAAUAAGUCACAGUUGGUACCGGAUUAAUAUUAAUGAUCGAUGUAACUACAAUUUGGCUGAGAUUGUUCUAUAUAUCUACAAAAAGUGUAUAUAGUAUAUAUAUAUGAAUAUUAGUAAAAUCAUGCUCCUUUU
Molecule: long non-coding RNA, 1382 nt
Organism: Haliotis rufescens (red abalone)
Lineage: Eukaryota; Metazoa; Mollusca; Gastropoda; Lepetellida; Haliotidae
Exons: 2
Source: RefSeq, a predicted model, not a curated record